RNAcentral lists this ribosomal RNA (34 nucleotides) under uncultured cyanobacterium. Its description in RNAcentral is "partial 23S ribosomal RNA". Lineage: Bacteria; Bacillati; Cyanobacteriota. The record is from RNAcentral.
GGUCAAGCUACAAAGGGCUCAUGGUGGAUACCUU